This 479-nucleotide long non-coding RNA is filed under the name Nicotiana benthamiana. Its description in RNAcentral is "long non-coding RNA (NBEN_LNC027900)". Lineage: Eukaryota; Viridiplantae; Streptophyta; Magnoliopsida; Solanales; Solanaceae. The record is from RNAcentral.
UGAAGGGCUUUCCUGUUGGAGGUGGGUAUCCAAGGUCGUGGCCGAAGAUGGGAUACUAAGGAUUAGUCAGCAAAAUAAAGGCAGAAAAUAAUUGCUUUGAGGACAUGCAUGCACGCCUCUGCCAUACAAAUCCAGAGUUGUUUAACUCUACUGCAUCCAUUCUUCUGGUCCGAGGAAGUUGAAGUAUUUGGUUCAGCAAAGUUGAUCUGGGGCUUUUUUCUCUCCAGAGUUGAAGUGCUACAUUAUGAAAGCACUUGCAGGUUCAUUCUCUCUUGUCAUUAUUGUUGAACACAAUGGUCUUCUAAUGUUGUAUAGAUGUAUCCUCAUUGCUAUAUGGUCCCUCAUUGUAUCGGGAUCAAUUUGCCUCGUAUAGAAGGUUAUGCAUAUAGUUUUGGAUCUUCGGCAGAUGUAUGUCCUUAAUGAAAGCAAUUCGAUCACAGCCUAAUAUCUAUCAGAUGGUGUUUUUCUCCUGCAUUUUA